AAUGAACGUUGGCGGCAUGGAUUAGGCAUGCAAGUCGCGCGAUAAAUGUAGCAAUACAUGGAAAGCGGCGAAAGGGACAGUAAUGCGUGGGAACCUACCUCGGGGUCUGGGAUAGCGGCGGGAAACUGCCGGUAAUACCAGAUGACAUCCCCGGAUCAAAGGUGUGAUUCCGCCCUGAGAUGGGCCCACGUGCUAUUAGCUUGUUGGCGGGGUAAUGGCCCACCAAGGCUUAGAUGGCUAGCGGGUGUGAGAGCACGACCCGCGUCACUGGGACUGAGACACUGCCCAGACACCUACGGGUGGCUGCAGUCGAGAAUCUUCGGCAAUGGACGCAAGUCUGACCGAGCGAUGCCGCGUGCGGGAUGAAGGCCCUUGGGUUGUAAACCGCUGUCGAGGGGAAUGAAAUUCUGGUGGGUACUCCCAUUAGAUUGACUGAUCCCUGGAGGAAGGGUGGGCUAAGUUCGUGCCAGCAGCCGCGGUAAUGUG
This 486-nucleotide ribosomal RNA is filed under the name uncultured bacterium. RNAcentral describes it as "bacterial SSU rRNA". It matches the Rfam family "Bacterial small subunit ribosomal RNA", at positions 29 to 527 of the family's 1533-position model. The record is from RNAcentral.